This 586-nucleotide long non-coding RNA is filed under the name Heterocephalus glaber (naked mole-rat). Its description in RNAcentral is "lncRNA (ENSHGLG00100051469.1)". The record is from RNAcentral. Lineage: Eukaryota; Metazoa; Chordata; Mammalia; Rodentia; Bathyergidae.
GGUACUGGAACCUAACUGCAGGGGUCUCCAGUUCUGCCAGAGCAUGACAUACAUGGCCUCAAGUCCAGGUUCUGACAGUCCUGAUUCCCACCUAAAACCUCCUGAGUCUGAACUUUGCUGUCUGCAUUCAUAUGAGGAUCAUGGUUUUCUGAGCUCUGACCAGAAUCACCUGUCAAGCUCAGCUUUCAGCAUUCUAGGGCUUCUCUACUUGACAUUUCCAGACCUUUCCAAACUCCUAUAGACCAGUUCCAAGGGCUUCUAAACCUACAGUCAUAGCAACAAUAGUACUUCUCCAGUUCCAAUUUUCUUUAGAAGUCAUUUUACCAUCACUUGGACAAAAUACUUGACACCUGCAGCUUAGAAGUUUAUUUUUAGUUCACAGUUCAGUGGAUUCAGCCCAUGGUUGGUGACUCACUCCAAAGCAGAAACAUCAUGGUGGAAGGGCCUGGUAGAGGAAGGAUGCUCACCUCAUGGCAGCCAGGAAACAAGAGAGGACCUGGGAUUGAACUGGGAUCCUUGUGCUUGCACACCGGGCGGCGAAACCACUGAGCUAAAUUCCCGGACCCCAAUCACCUUUCAAUAGCCC